This 495-nucleotide ribosomal RNA is filed under the name uncultured bacterium. RNAcentral's name for it is "partial 16S ribosomal RNA". It matches the Rfam family "Bacterial small subunit ribosomal RNA", at positions 28 to 507 of the family's 1533-position model. The record is from RNAcentral.
GACGAACGCUGGCGGCGUGCCUAAUACAUGCAAGUAGAACGCUGAAGGAGGAGCUUGCUUCUCUGGAUGAGUUGCGAACGGGUGAGUAACGCGUAGGUAACCUGCCUGGUAGCGGGGGAUAACUAUUGGAAACGAUAGCUAAUACCGCAUAAGAGUAGAUGUCGCAUGACAUUUGCUUAAAAGGUGCAAUAGCAUCACUACCAGAUGGACCUGCGUUGUAUUAGCUAGUUGGUGAGGUAACGGCUCACCAAGGCAACGAUACAUAGCCGACCUGAGAGGGUGAUCGGCCACACUGGGACGGAGACACGGCCCAGACUCCUACGGGAGGCAGCAGUAGGGAAUCUUCGGCAAUGGACGGAAGUCUGACCGAGCAACGCCGCGUGAGUGAAGAAGGUUUUCGGAUCGUAAAGCUCUGUUGUAAGAGAAGAACGAGUGUGAGAGUGGAAAGUUCACACUGUGACGGUAUCUUACCAGAAAGGGACGGCUAACUACGUG